AAUAAAUAUCCGUUCCUUUUCUGUUAACAUCAGUAACUCUGCUUGCCAUUUCUCAACUCACCAACCAAGAGUUCCUCCCCAUCGCUUACUGUUGAGAGAUCAAGAGGAACGAAGCCUGAGAAUGACAUUGGAUUUAGCAACCAACGGAUCAUCGGCGACAUGGCAGCGAGCGUUUUCAUUUGGCUGGUGAAACCAGAAUGCGAGAGAUCGGGAAGUCGUGGGUCAAUUUGAAGAAAGAAAAAAAGAAACGAACCCCCAAACCUCCUAUAUUUCGAACUUGUCCAAGCAGGCGACUCCUACUCACUUUUGGUGAUUCAUAUGGACACAAACAAUCCUACCAGAAGCAAUGCAGAAAGGAUUGCCAAAAAGUACAACUACGGAGACAACUACUACUCAGGUGGGAAGGAGGGACCAUCUGACCUUUGAGGGUCCUUCCAGGAGGACUGAAGGAAGAGGAUGUCAGUAGCACCGAUAAUUAACCCACCAAUCAACCAGUGCCAGUGAUAUGUCAAGCUCUAGGCAUACAAAUGCCCUCAGAGAGUUUACAUUCUAAUGGAAAGACGGAAACAAUGGCUGGAAAAUCCAGGGUUCAAAUCUUGCUUAUGGUACUUUAAGCAAAUCACUUCAUUCUCUGUGCCUCAGUUUCCUCAUCUGUAAAACGAGGGGGUUGCCUUGGAUGACUUCUGAGGAACCUUCCUGCUGUGUCCUGGGGUGGAAUAAGCUCAGCUCCCUGAGGUCAGACUUCUUUUGCCCACCUGGAUGGGUCCCAGACCUCUCCAGAUGUCUUUCCCAGGGAGGUGAGCCUUCUAGCGAACAGGAACUCCUCCUUCCUAAACCGGAUAUGGGCUAAAGGACAAGGGGCCCGGAGUUGUUUUUUUCCCUUUCCUGACAUCCCUCCUUCUCCUUGGGGAUGGUUUCCUCAGCAAUGCAGGCAGCAGCUGUGGCUCGCAGCCCUCCCCAGAGCUUAGGAAUGUUUCCGUCCUCUCCCUCAAUCUUAAUGAGCCAUCAAGAGUGAGCAGCUUCCAGAGGGUCUGGGAGGGAGGGAGAGAGUCUUUCCCAUCAACCUCCUGCCCGUUUCCUGCUCCUUAACCUGGUAUCCAGGAACUUGGUUUUGGUCUCCA
This 1121-nucleotide long non-coding RNA is filed under the name Sarcophilus harrisii (Tasmanian devil). RNAcentral describes it as "lncRNA (ENSSHAG00000023212.1)". The record is from RNAcentral. Lineage: Eukaryota; Metazoa; Chordata; Mammalia; Dasyuromorphia; Dasyuridae.